RNA transcript from Dromaius novaehollandiae (emu), 5787 nucleotides. It is a transcript of the gene named arylsulfatase B, with no coding region annotated. The transcript has 10 exons. Lineage: Eukaryota; Metazoa; Chordata; Aves; Casuariiformes; Dromaiidae. The record is from RefSeq and is a predicted model, not a curated record.
GGGACGGCCGUGGGCGCCCGGCCCGCCCGGCGGCCCAGUUCCUGGUUGCGCGGGCGGGCGGCGAUGGCGCGGCGGGCGGGCGGCUGGCGGCGGCUCUGCCUGCUCUGGUGCCUUCUGCGGCUGGCGGCGGCGCGGCGGCCGCCCCCGCACCUGGUGGUGGUGCUGGCCGACGACCUGGGCUGGGGCGACGUGGGCUGGCACGGCUCGGCCAUCCGCACGCCGCGGCUGGACGCGCUGGGGGCGGGCGGCGUGCGGCUGGAGCGGUACUACACGCAGCCGCUGUGCACGCCGUCCCGCAGCCAGCUCCUCAGCGGCCGCUACCAGAUCCACACAGGUUUACAACACCAAAUAAUUUGGCCCUGCCAACCCAGCUGUCUCCCCCUGGAUGAGAAACUCCUCCCAGAGCUACUUAAAGAGGCAGGAUAUGUUACUCACAUGGUGGGGAAGUGGCAUUUAGGGAUGUACAGAAAAGAAUGCCUUCCAACCCGGAGAGGAUUUGAUACUUACUUUGGCUAUCUUCUGGGAAGUGAGGAUUACUACUCUCAUGACCGUUGUGUGCUCAUCAAAGCAAAGAAUGUAACACGCUGCGCUCUGGACUUUCGAGAUGGAGAAGAAGUUGUAACUAGAUUUAAAAACAUGUACUCCACUAAUUUAUUCACAGAAAGAGCUAUAGAUCUGAUAGCCAAUCAUAAAACUGAGAAGCCCCUCUUUCUCUACCUCGCUUUUCAGUCUGUCCAUGAACCUCUCGAGGUCCCUGAGGAAUACAUGAAACCAUAUUCCUCCAUUAAGGAUGAAAAGAGGCGCCAUUAUUCAGGAAUGGUGACGCUUAUGGAUGAAGCUGUAGGAAACCUUACUGAUGCUCUGAAAAAAUACAAUCUUUGGGAUAACACAGUUCUUGUUUUCUCUACUGAUAAUGGAGGACAGACUUUGUCAGGUGGAAAUAACUGGCCGCUGAGAGGAAGAAAGUGGACCCUUUGGGAAGGAGGAGUGAGAGGAGUAGGGUUUGUUGCAAGUCCUUUACUGAAACAAAAAGGUGUAGAAAGUCACGAACUUAUCCAUAUCUCUGACUGGCUGCCAACGCUGGUGCACCUUGCUGGAGGACACACCAAUGGCACUAAGCCUCUGGAUGGCUUUGAUGUUUGGAAAACUAUCAGUGAAGGAAGACCAUCUCCCAGAGUCGAACUGCUUCAUAACAUAGACCCCAUGUUUGUGGAUGAUUUCCCAUGUCUUGGCAUUGACAACAGGACAUCUUUAUUGCAGAACAGUUCUUUUAUGUGGGAUGAUACACUUUUCAAUAUCUCCAUGCAUGCAGCAAUUCGACAUGGAAAAUGGAAGUUACUAACUGGAUAUCCAGGAUGCAGUCACUGGUUCCCUCCACCUUUGUUCAGUGAGUCAGUGAUUCAGUCGUCUGAUCCACCAACAAAGAGACUUUGGCUUUUUGAUGUUGUUCAUGAUCCUGAGGAGAAAAAUGAGUUGUCUGAAAGAUAUCCUAAUGUGGUGAAAAAACUGCUCUCACGACUUCAGUAUUAUUAUAAACGUUCAGUGCCUGUGUUCUACCCUGAUGAGGAUCCCCGCUGUGAUCCAGCAGCAGCUGGGGCCUGGGGUCCUUGGGCAUAGUGCACAGCAUCGCACCCUGCAAAACUCACCUGUAGUGGAGUUGGAUUUGUAGUCUCAGGGUCCUAGUCAUAUAUUUCUUACCUUGUUUUUUACAGUAUUGCUAAUCGUGAGUUCAUUCCGUGAGUAAUUCAGUCUUUCUUACCCUUAAAAUGUGGUGGGAAUCUUAUUUCAGUCCUCCCCACUCUCUCCUUCUCAACAAUUAUACAUGAAAUGUUGAUAAAAUUAGAAAUCUGUUGUUUGAAUAUUCUUUGUCAAUAAUGUGCCUUUAAAGUAGGAUGUUGCUUCCCUCCCUGAAAGAGAUUACUUCUGUUAAAAAGCUGCUAUGAGUCAUGGAAGCAGAAUGAUUCAUAAUUCUGUUGUGGAAGAAACUGAUGUUUCAUUUCAUGCUUGCCCAGAAGACAAAUUCUAUCAGAAGCUGUUACAUAUUUGUAAAGAAUUGAAGAAAUACAGCAGUUGACAUAAUUUUUACCUUUCACGUGCACUUCUGUCCAGAAAAGAGAACAGUCAGAAAUCUCCAAGAAUAAAAAAACCCUUUCAGUAUACAGCAAAAUACCUUAUUCCAGUUCAGUGCUAACAUAUGAAAUUGGGGUAGAGAGAGGUGGUUGACUUGAGGACAGGGCUGCCACGCAGAGGGACAUUAACACACCGGAGAAAUGGAUGAACAAAAACUUUAUGAAGUUCAACAAGGGCAGAGUCCUGCACUUGGGAUGGCAAAACACCACACAACAGUAUAGGCUGGGCUCUGACUGGAUAGACAGCGUUGCCUUGGGAAAGAACCUGGAGUGCUGUUGGACAACAAAUUGAACAAGAAUCACCAUAUGCCCUAGUGGUGAAGAAGGCCAAGGACAUAUUGGUGCAUAUUAGCAAGAGUGUAGCCAGCACAUGGAGGGAAGUGAUUAUUCCCCUCUAUUCAGCAUUGGAGCACUGCAUCACAUUUUGGGCUUCCUUAUACAGGAAAGAGAUUGAUAUGCUGGAGUGAGUCUAGCAGAGGGCCACAGAAAUGAGCACAUGACAAAUGAGGGGUGGCUAAAGAACUGGGUUAGUUUAGCCUGGGAAAGAAAAGAUAAAGGGGGGAUUGUUAUCUUCAGUGAGCCAGAGGAAGGGCAUAGAGAAGAUGAAGCCAGACUCAGAGGUGUGCAAAGAGAAGACAAGAGGCAACAGACACAAGCUUCAACAGACACAAGUUGCAACACAGGGAGUUCCAAUUAGAUAUAAGGAAAAAAAAUCUCACCAUGAGAAUGGUCAAAUACUGGAACAGGUUGCCCAGUGAGGUUGUUGUAUCCCUAUCCUUGGAGAUGUUCAGAACUUGGUCGGAAAAGAUUCUGAGUAACCUAAUCUUAACUCUGAAGUUGGAUCUAAUUUGCAGAUUGGCCCUGCUUUAGUGGUGGUUGGUGGAACAACCAGAUGGACCUCCAAAGGGCCCUUUCAGCCUGCAUUAUUCAUUGAUUCUAUGAUGAACAAAGCCUUACUCUCACUUAUUGUCCACCUUUCUGGUGAGUACCCUUUCUGCUCAGAUUGGUUUUUUAUUAUCACAGUAGCAACUGUUUUCAUCUUGAAGUGGGCUGUGAGCCAAGGGGAAACUAGGCCAAACAACUUUACUUGGUUACUCACCAAAUUGAUGUGAGAAGAUCAACCCACCAGCUCUCUUAACUUUGUAAACCUCUGGAGUCUGGCCAGAAUUCUGUUGGUGCUUUUCAGCAUCCUUUGCCAAAUUCUCAGGCUGCAGAACUCUAGCUGUCAUCCUCUCCAGAAAGUAGGAACCUAACUGCAUGUUUUCAGAAUCCAGGACCAAGUCCUGUGAUUUGCACUAAAGUUUUGCACACCUUUUCCCAGUUUUCCUUCAGGAGACAUCUGCUAAUUGUUAGCAAACAGACUUAUGAAGAGACUGUCACACUUGACAAAAUUUUCUUUCUUUCUUUUUUUUUUUAAACUACAAAGAUAAAGCAUAGGAAAGAUGGAACUUCAGGAAAUCAAAAACAUGUAUUAAAAUAAACAAAAAUUCCUGCCUUCUGCUACAGCUGAUUCUCCAUUACACUGUUUUAAACCUAACUUGCCUUUCCCACCUCCGAUGUGUACCUACAUAUACAGGAAGGGGAGCCAAAGUUCUUCAAAAGCUUGUUCAGCUGUUUGUCUUUUUCCCAAGGAGUGUCAUGUUUUCCCUUCUCCUUUGUCACUUCUGCCUCUUUAUCUCAGUAUUUUCCCAUUCUGUUUCCUUUGCUGUCUUCAGCCUUGAAGGUGAAUAGGGAAGAAGGAUGGAUUGGGAGAGAAUAAUUCUCCUAUAUUGGGCAAACAUAUAUUCUCCAUGGUUUAGUCUGAUAUGUCUUGGAAGCCUGCAUCAGACCAAGGUUCAAUCCAUCUCCAUCAGUGAUUGAAAGCACACAGCUGCACAGGAGUAAAGGGCAAGCAUAUGUGAUAAGUUCUCCAGAUUGUCUUUAAUAUUCUAACUUUGGCUCAGAGAAGAACUGAACCUCAGACAUUUAACUUCUAUGUAUUUAAUAGCCCUCAGUGUAAACUCUUAGUAUUUACACAAUCUUCUUCCACAGUUAGGAGUUCCACAGCCUAAAUACACAAUGUGUGAAGAGUCACCUCUGUUUAUGAUAUGCUUCUGGGCAAUUUGAGUUUUCACUGGUAAAAUACAUAUGGUGUGACAGAAGUCCCUACUAUACCAUGUUUAGCAACUUUCAUAUUAAACAGUAUCUUUAUAAUAAAAAACAAUUUAUAUGUUCUGUAGAGGUAGUCUCCAAAUAGGUACUGUACAUGACCAUCUCUCCUUCCAUUUCACAGAACUGUUUUCAACUUUUCUUUCUAUUUUGGCUUCACAGCACAACAGCAUUUCACUCUCAAGCUUCAAGAGAUUCUUUAAGAUAACUUUCUGAGACAAACUGUUAUCUGCUGACCACAGGAAGGGAUCAAAAAUGUACUGUUUUUAUCAUGCUGUUAUCCAAUUUCGUGGAAUAGAAGAAAAAGGUAUCAGCUAACUUGCAAAAACCCAGAUAAUUCAUGUUCUUCCAUCAAUGUCAACUCCUUGGCUAAAGUUAGAAAGGAUCAAAGAACUUCUAAUUUUAAUUUCAAAAUUGCAGAACUACAAGCAUGAGAUUUCAUACUUUAUGGAUCUUCACAGCAUACAUUUGGGCCAUACUGCAGACUGAUAAGAAAGUUGUCUUCACUGUGCUCAAAAGUGUGUCUGAACUCCAGCCUCCUUGUGGAGACCAAGCUGUGAGCGUCUCUCUCCCCUUAGGCUUCUGAACACUGAAUUCUCUCCUAAAGAUAAAUAAUUAAUGGAAGAGGAAGAAAAGAGCUGCUGUCACCAGUGGGUCCACUAACACCACAACCAUCACUAUCACCUUUUGUAUGACUAACAGGGUUGAGACACCACUCCUUAUCCCAUCACUCAAUUGCAGUGAAACUUAUAUGAUUUGAACAUACAUGGAUGCCUAUGUUUAGAUACACAGGGAACUUUGUAAAUGAAUAUUACAGAUACAUUAAUAUUUAUCUUCUUUCAUUUUAGGUAAUCUCUAUUAGAUGAAUAGGCACUAAAUCAAUAGGCACUUCACUUAAUCUUUUUAGGAGUGGAUAGAUGAUCGGUGAGAAAAAUGAUCUUUGGUACAAAAAUAUUUGCAGUGCAGUUUUUUACACUUUCCAGUUUCAUAUUAUUAAUGGACCAUCAAGGUUGUAACACAUCCUAUUGAAAUGGCAUAAUCUAUCUGUUUGGAAAAACACUCUGAUCCUAAAGUAAUUGUGCUAUCUAUUACAAAGACUGGCUCAAAGUGUAUCUAAAGAUGGGAAUGCAAGAGGUUUUAUAGCUUUUGCAAAUUAAUAUGUCAAUUACAUUCAUUUUGUAUUAUCAAAUAAUGUUCUGACCGCUCUGUUUGUUUGAAGUCUCCAGGGUUAAAAUAUUCUUUAAACAUAUGUUUAUUUUUGGACAGACCUACUGAGUUGUCUCCUAUUGUAUGUUAAAGUAGCUACUCUCUGAGGUCAGAAAGAGUUCAGCUUUACAAAGAUACCCUUAUUUUGUAGAAAUGGGAUCUUCAGAGUCUUUAAUAGGAACAAACAAAAAUAUCUUUAUUAAAACUUUUUUUGAAUGAUUCAGUAGAUGACUUGUCUGAAUUGAAAGGGGAAAAGAAAUGUAAGGACACAAGUUUGGACAAUAAACAAAGCCGUGAAAGCAUA